GUGAGGUAUCCCAUUGUCGGUCGUCGGAUAUUUCUUUUUUCUUUCUUCCAUUUUGAAUUCUUUUCUCCUAAUUAUUCCAAAAUGUUUCUUAUCGGCUCUGAAAUCAGAAUUCCGAUCAUCUUUGCGGCUUGUUUUCGAUACCGAUUUCCGCCCUCCGUGAUUUUUCAAAUCGGUUCGGUUUGCGAGAUCAGGAUUCAGGAGCAGCAAUGUCUUGCAAUGCGUGCAAAUUCUGCACGGCGCUGGGUGCAUUGGUUUCGAUUAUGAUCCUCUAUGUUCUAGGUAUAGUCGAUCUCUCCUAUUACGCUCUGCUCGUCGUCAACUAUGGUCCGCCUCUCUUAGUUCUACGGACCUAAUUCUUCCAAUUUCUUAAGAGUACGAACUUAAGAUUAGCUUCUACAUUUGCUUUUUUUUCUUCAUUUGUUUCUGCUGAGACGAAUUUAUUAGCUUGUAGAAUAGCGUUAUGCAGAGAAUAGAGUAUCUCUGGGAUUCUUCUUUUCGGUUUGCCAGAAUAACACAAAAGAGAAUGAACACUUUGCCUAAUUCUGAAGUUGGAAUGAUGUGUUGUGGUAAUAUUUGUAUGUUCAUCUUUAGAAUAGCAAAUGUAUAUUUCAUAAAGCUUUAAACCUUCAAUUUACCUAUCUGUUUAUGUAGUUGGUGAUGCUAUUCUGUUGCUACUUUUCUGUUGUUCUAACAAAUCCUAGGUGUGUUCCACCGCCCCGUUGCCAUCACUGUUUUGUUUGUGGAAGGUGUGUACUGAAACUGGACCAUCAUUGUGUGUUGGUCGUCAAUCGUGUUGGAGCAAAGAACUAUCAGUACUUCCUGCUAUAUUUUUCUUGAAUUUACCAUUUGCACCGAGUGUUAUGAGAUUUCUGAUAUUGCACGUAUCACUGGUAGCAGUCAAUACCACCAGAAUUGAGGUAAGGCCUUCUAGAAGUAGUAUUUUGUUUGCUUUGCUUUUAAACAUUUAACAGGGGCUGAAUUGGUCUAUUGGAUAUUUGAUUCACCAUUGCUAGGUGUCACGGUCAUGCUUGUCCAAGGCAUAUUUGCCCUUGGUUGCAUGGCAAACCCCUUGUAUUGUACCACUUUAUUGCUUUCCUUCACCGUAUUCAUGAUGUAUAGUUUCCUUAUUGUAUUUUCUAAGUGUAUGACGUUUCGAAAAAAAAUUAUCCACACCUGGUAGAUCAGAAAUGCCUUAGAAUGUACUAUAGGGGAUGUGAUUAGUCGUCAAUUCUUCCUACCCGGAAUUAUAUAGUAUCUAAAUUGUUGUGUUGCCUUCUUUGCUUAUAUCCUAUAACAGUGCUUUCUUCAUUUCUCUCAAUCUUGCUUUUAAACUCUCAUUCUAAAAUCUCUUUUUUGUUUUCUAAAACCUUUUUAAAACGGGACCAGAGGCUUGAGUAUACGUCACCCGACCAAAGACGACACGAUUUCGAGUUGGUUGACUCACUCAGUGGUGAGAGUAAGUGUCGCAUAACCGCUUGCAAGCAUCUUGUAAGAAUGCGAUUGUGACACCAAGCAUAUGAGAAGAAAACCACUAAAGCAUAUGAGAAGAAAACCACUAAAAAAUGGCACCAUGGCCUUGGUCACCGAAAAUUUUUGAGCUGGUAUCUUCUUCACAACUCACUGGCCUCUUCCUUGCUGACAUUCACUUAUUCACUUAUUGAUGGUAGAUCUCUCUGUUGGUAGCUAGACGCUAAUUUUACCAUAUUGAUGUCCAUAUUUAGUUACAAGCUACCCAAGUUUGUAGAGGCUGUUACUCUCUCACCAGCGUUGCUUCCUCUAGUACUUACUCUACUGCUCUCAGCAGAUCAAACUCCCCCUAUUUCUCAUCUCUUGCAAUAUGCUGGAGUUCUUUUGCCAGUGAUGCUAAAUGAAUUCAUGAUUCAGGUGUUCAGAAUGGAUUAGAAGUACUGGUUUAUCACUGCAGCUUCUCAAGAUGACCUAAAGCAGAAGCAUAAUCUCCAAGGCAUCGAAUAUCCAAUAAGUGAGUCAGUUAAGGAUGGCCAGGGCGGCGGCUGGCUCCCUCCAUGUGCAUGUGAAGGGAGGAAAGACAGAACUGGCGUCAAUAAGUUGGAGCUUGAAAAACAAAAUCUCCAAAAUUUCUGACCAUUAUUAAACGAUGAACUUGUUGAGAAUUGUUGAGAGUGAGUCUCAAAUUGGCUAAUUUAGGGAAUGAUCAUGAAUUUGAAUUUAUAAGUAAAAGAAUAUAUCUCCAUUGGCAUGAAGUCUUUUUGGGUAAGUUCAAAGCAAACCCACGAGACUUUAUGCUCAAAUGGAAUAAUAUCAUAUCAUUGUGGAGAGGUGUGAUUCAUAAUACAGAUGUCAAUUUUUUCUUGAGA
Cucurbita pepo subsp. pepo (vegetable marrow) is the source of this 2336-nucleotide non-coding RNA. The record is from RefSeq and is a predicted model, not a curated record. NCBI's taxonomy places the organism in Eukaryota, Viridiplantae, Streptophyta, Magnoliopsida, Cucurbitales, Cucurbitaceae.